Long non-coding RNA from Heterocephalus glaber (naked mole-rat), 1634 nucleotides. Lineage: Eukaryota; Metazoa; Chordata; Mammalia; Rodentia; Bathyergidae. The record is from Ensembl.
GGAAGCGAGGCCCUGGGAACCACUGUCCAGCCAGGCUCCCUGAGCCUCUGGCUCCUGUAAGCCAGAUCUCCAGGCCCAGGCAGGGUCUGAGGGCUGUGGGGUGCAGGACCAGCCCUCCCCUCAGGCUUGUUUCUGAGCUGCCCCACAGUGUGGUGUCGGGUCACAGUACCUGACACACCAGCCCCUGGAAAACAGUGCCUGAGCAACCAGGCACAAAUGUACAGCUGCCCCUGAAGUGUGUUUCCCUGCAAUUCAGCCUGUCCACUGCGGCCCCUCUGCACCUGGCUGGAGCCCAGAGGAGGACCUGGGCCUGCGACACCCUGCUCAUGCUCCGCCUGUCCUGCUCCCUCCAGUCAGUUCACCAAGCACCUCCCAGGCCGCAGGGCCCAGCGGGGCUGCGCUCCUGCCUGGCCCUACUGGUCCCAGUCCUUGACGAUGCUCAGGACGCCCCGCUCAGGGGCGGGGCCUGCCAGCCUGGCCAGCACGUCCAGCCCUCCGUGCUCCUUCUCCCUGGAGGACACAAAGUGGGCAGCUCCUGCACCCGGACCCCGGGGCGCCCGCCCGUGUCCCCGUCCCUGUCCCCGUGGCCUGCGCAGCUCCCGGAUCUGUGCGGGCCAGGCCGAUUGGGACCGCAGGGCAGGAGCCCGGGCACCGCUUACCGGAGGACAACGUUGCAUGCCUGCGCGGUGGCCGCUGACCAAGGCCUGCUGGCCCCGCUCCCCAACAUCGUUCCCGCUCACGUCCAGGUGCCUCAGCUCCAGGUUGGUGCCCGGCACAGCCGGCCAGGGCAAGGCAGCCAGCAGAGGCGCUCUCACUCCAGGACAUGCAGGUGGCAGCUGGGGCACGCCAGGGCCUCGCACAGAGUGGCGGCGCCGUCAUCCCCGAGGGUCAUUGAGGCUGAGGUCCAGGCUUUGGAGGCGCGCUGCUCUCUCGAGAGCUGAGGCCACGUCCUGACAGCAAGCCGAGCAGUGAGACCGAGGACUCAUGUGCUGACUCUGUCUUCCACCACUUGAGGAACAGCCAAGAACGUCUUCCUGAAGUGCCAGCACCUUCUCCUGCUUCUCCGGGGAAAGCUCAAAGUGUCAGUGCUUCCUCAGGUAUUUUGUGCCUCUUUCAGCAUUUCAGAAGCAUUUGCAGAAAUUCCCAAGCGUCACGCACUGCAUCAGGCCUGGGGGCCCCAGAGGCACAGCCCCUGCCCUGGGGAGCUCGGGCCCAGCAAGAACCAAACACAAAGGUGAACAGGCCCGGUGUGUCCGUCUGGCAGGAGGCUCCAAGGUCUCCCUGCCCCUUCCCGCUCAGGCGCCUGCAGCCUCCCAGGACCCGGUGACCAGGGACGGGGUGGGCCCAGGAGGGGUGGAUUUCAGACACGAGGGCACUGUUUACGGGGCUGGAUUGCCUCGGCCCCCGCCUCUGUGGGGUGUGGCUCCCUCUCACGGGAUGACCAGGGACCCCGCUCUGGUCCCCACAGCAGGCAUGGGCGCGUGACCCAGAGGCCCACACCUGCAGACUCCGGCGACUUUUCCUCUCGGAGACACAUCGUCAUCGGCCUCACACUUGCCAUCCUCCUGCCUCAGCCUCCCAGAGUGCUGGGGUCACAGGCGUGCACCACCAUGCCUGGCUCCGUAUUUAAUUCU